This 423-nucleotide long non-coding RNA is filed under the name Androctonus crassicauda. Lineage: Eukaryota; Metazoa; Arthropoda; Arachnida; Scorpiones; Buthidae. The record is from RNAcentral.
UUAAUACCAUCACCAAACUCCUAAAGGAUGAGCAGUGUGUAGUGGUCAGGAAAAGAGGCCACACGGUAUUUGAUCAGAUGAGAAACGACAAGAACCGUAUACUGGAUGAUAGAAAAGUCGGAAUAUAUGCCAUUCCCUUAUAUAACAACGACGAAAAAUGCAUACAGUGGUACAUCGGCAGCACAAAACGAAACUUAAAAGAAUAGAAGAACAUAAGCUGGAUAUUUCUAAGGGAAGAACAAGCACUGCCUUGGCUAUGAAAAGCUACGAGCAAGAUGUUAUGGUAAACUGGAGCCAGGCUAAAGUUAUUAAACCCCUAAGGGACAGCGUUUGCAUCAUUGUAGCAGAGGAUAUUGAGAUUGAAAAAAGAAGGCUAUUGAUGUGCGUUAUAAACGACAACCAACUGACGGAGUUACCCAGUGC